AUUGAACGCUGGCGGCAUGCCUUACACAUGCAAGUCGAACAGCAGCGGACCUUCGGGUGCCGGCGAGUGGCGAACGGGUGAGUAAUGCAUCGGAACGUGCCAUUGAGUGGGGGAUAACGUAGCGAAAGUUGCGCUAAUACCGCAUAUUCUGUGAGCAGGAAAGCAGGGGACCGCAAGGCCUUGCGCUCUUUGAGCGGCCGAUGUCAGAUUAGCUAGUUGGUGAGGUAAAGGCUUACCAAGGCGACGAUCUGUAGCGGGUCUGAGAGGAUGAUCCGCCACACUGGAACUGAGACACGGUCCAGACUCCUACGGGAGGCAGCAGUGGGGAAUUUUGGACAAUGGGGGCAACCCUGAUCCAGCCAUGCCGCGUGAGUGAAGAAGGCCUUCGGGUUGUAAAGCUCUUUCGGCCGGGAAGAAAUCGCAUGGGUGAAUACCCUGUGUGGAUGACGGUACCGGAACAAGAAGCACCGGCUAACUACGUG
This 482-nucleotide ribosomal RNA is filed under the name uncultured bacterium. RNAcentral's name for it is "bacterial SSU rRNA". It matches the Rfam family "Bacterial small subunit ribosomal RNA", at positions 30 to 507 of the family's 1533-position model. The record is from RNAcentral.